CACACACACAAUGGGCAAAGAGACACCUUGUUGGUGGUGAUGUUCUUUUAUUAGUCAGGGGCAGAGCAGAUGGUGGUCCUUUGUUUAUCUCAGCUUGAUACCUGGCUUGGUGUUCAAAGCUGUUUGAUGCCUAGGACUCAUAA
This is a small nucleolar RNA of Rattus norvegicus (Norway rat), 143 nucleotides long. Ensembl annotates it as small nucleolar RNA SNORA48. NCBI's taxonomy places the organism in Eukaryota, Metazoa, Chordata, Mammalia, Rodentia, Muridae. The record is from Ensembl.